CUGGAGCCGAGCGCCACACAGUGGACAGGGACUCCGCGGUGACAGACAUGCCGCGUGGGAAUCCCUGGUGUCCAUCAAAGGCGGGUGGCCACCCUCUCACAGCUGUCGAAAUGAAAUUCGGCGGGAGCGGAGAGGACGAGGGGCGGCGGGAGAACAGGGUCCGGCAAAGGGGUCACCCAAAGCGUCACCAGGGAGGGACCGUUAACCCCGCGUGAAGGUGAGGAGUUGGGCGCCAACCAGAAUAACCAGGUAGGUAGGAAGCGCCUGGGAUCCGAGUGGCGGCCGCUUCCCUGAUCCUUGCCCAGAAGGCACACACUGAGGGAAGUCCCUUAGUCCCUCGGCUUUCAUCCCACAAAACUUCGAUUUUCAGGUUAAACUCUUAAACUUAAGGCCUCUCUAGGUUUCAUAUGAGGGGAUGUGACCCAGUUUAACAGUUAUGCAGAACCAAUGAUAGAGCACGUAGAUUGACACCCUGUAAUUAAAAAACAGGACUUUCUAAGGCAAAAAGUAAUUUUCUACUGAAAAAGAAUUAUUGUUCUGGAAAGAUGUACCCACAUGUUCACAAAAAGAAUAAAAGAUCACUUUGGCAUGUUUCUCCCAUGAUUAAUAGUGGUCUGUCUUUUCUGGGAGGGGUAUAGGUACUAUUUGGUUACUUUAAAAAUAUAUAUAUAUAUAUAGUUGUAGAUGGAUACAAUGACUGUAUUGUUUUAUUUUUAUGUGGUGUG
Molecule: long non-coding RNA, 725 nt
Filed under: Marmota monax (woodchuck)
Lineage: Eukaryota; Metazoa; Chordata; Mammalia; Rodentia; Sciuridae
Source: RNAcentral